AGAUUGAACGCUGGCGGCAUGCCUUACACAUGCAAGUCGGACGGCAGCACGGGAGCAAUCCUGGUGGCGAGUGGCGAACGGGUGAGUAAUACAUCGGAACGUGCCCAUUCGUGGGGGAUAACGCAGCGAAAGCUGUGCUAAUACCGCAUAAGAUCUACGGAUGAAAGCAGGGGAUCGCAAGACCUUGCGCGAAUGGAGCGGCCGAUGGCAGAUUAGGUAGUUGGUGAGGUAAAGGCUCACCAAGCCUUCGAUCUGUAGCUGGUCUGAGAGGACGACCAGCCACACUGGGACUGAGACACGGCCCAGACUCCUACGGGAGCAGCAGUGGGGAAUUUUGGACAAGUGGCGAAAGCCGUGAUCCAGCCAUGCCGCGUGCAGGAUGAAGGCCUUAGGUGUAACUGUCGUUUGUACGGAAAGAAAGUCUUACUUACUUAAAUAAGAAGG
This 444-nucleotide ribosomal RNA is filed under the name uncultured soil bacterium. RNAcentral describes it as "bacterial SSU rRNA". It matches the Rfam family "Bacterial small subunit ribosomal RNA", at positions 26 to 471 of the family's 1533-position model. The record is from RNAcentral.